RNAcentral lists this ribosomal RNA (406 nucleotides) under uncultured bacterium. RNAcentral describes it as "partial 16S ribosomal RNA". It matches the Rfam family "Bacterial small subunit ribosomal RNA", at positions 30 to 526 of the family's 1533-position model. The record is from RNAcentral.
AUUGAACGCUGGCGGCAGGCUUAACACAUGCAAGUCGAACGAGCGGCGGACGGGUGAGUAAUGUAUGGGGAUCUGCCCGUUGGAGGGGGAUAACUACUGGAAACGGUCGCUAAUACCGCAUACUAUCGGAUGAACCCAUAUGGGAUUAGCUAGUAGGUGGGGUAAAGGCUCACCUAGGCGACGAUCUCUAGCUGGUCUGAGAGGAUGACCAGCCACACGGGGACGGAGACACGGCCCAGACGCCUACGGGAGGCAGCAGUGGGGAAUAUUGCACAAUGGGCGCAAGCCUGAUGCAGCCAUGCCGCGUGUGUGAAGAAGGCCUUCGGGUUGUAAAGUACUUUCAGUCGGGAGGCGUUACCGGCAGAAGAAGCACCGGCUAACUCCGUGCCAGCAGCCGCGGUAAUAC